GCCGUAAACAAUUAAUUCACAACCAACAACGCCUGGGGACUACGAGCAAUGCUUAAAACCCAAAGGAUUUGACGGUGUCCCAUCCUACUAGAGGAGCCUGUUCUAUAAUCGAUAAUCCCCGCUACACCUGACCACUCCUCGCUUUUCAGCCUGUAUACCUCCGUCGAAAGCUUACCGCGUGAACGUUUGCAGUGUGCUUAAUGAUUUUCUCAUCAACACGUCAGGUCAAGGUGCAGCUUAAGGAAUGGGAAGUAACUGGCUACAAUCUCUAAUUUAGAACAAACGAAAGACUGCAUGAAAUACAAGUCAUGAAGGUGGAUUUAGUAGUAAAAAGAAAAUAGAGUGUUCUUUUUAACCCGGCUCUGGGACAAGUACACACCGCCCGUCACCCUCUUCGAAAAUAUUUUUUUUAUGUUCCUAACCCGUUAACACAUUAUAGAAGAAGCAAGUCGUAACAUGGUAAGUGUACUGGAAAGUGCACUUGGCAAAUA
RNAcentral lists this ribosomal RNA (491 nucleotides) under Lithobates vibicarius (Rancho Redondo frog). Its description in RNAcentral is "Rana vibicaria (Rancho Redondo frog) partial 12S ribosomal RNA". It matches the Rfam family "Bacterial small subunit ribosomal RNA", at positions 799 to 1533 of the family's 1533-position model. The record is from RNAcentral. Lineage: Eukaryota; Metazoa; Chordata; Amphibia; Anura; Ranidae.